Molecule: long non-coding RNA, 1868 nt
Organism: Oryzias javanicus (javanese ricefish)
Lineage: Eukaryota; Metazoa; Chordata; Actinopteri; Beloniformes; Adrianichthyidae
Source: Ensembl
GUUUUUGCAUUUGCAAACUUUUUUUUGUUUUCAAAAAUAUUUUUGCGCUUGCAGCCAUUUUUAUCUUUCAGAAAAGGUUUUUGCAUUUGCAAACUUUUUUUUUUUGCUUACAAAAAAUAUAUUUUGCGUUUGUACCACAAAUGUUCCUAGAAAAGUUGUUCCUCAUCUCGCUAUUAUUUUAUUUUUAAUUUGCAAACAGUGAAGUUUUGUGAUUAACUCUGUUUUGUUUACAAUUUAGAAAUUUUGAUCUCAAAACUGUUUUUUUUUUCUUAAAUAUGGUGGCACAAAAAUCCCUCCAUACUUUUGUGGUUUUUGGAGCAAGUGCUUGAGAGGUGAGAACGUUUUUUUUUUCACUUAUUUCAAGCAUAGUUGUUUCCAUUCCCAUGAUUUUGUUUUGUAUCAAAUUUCAUUUACUUUAAAAUAUUUUCUUAAUCAAAUCAAUGAUCUAUUUCUUUAAGUCAAAUGUGCCAUUUUGCCAACUUUGUACAAUCUGAAGUAAAACAGCAACUUAUUGCGUCAGACAAAGUAGAAGAAGGAAACAGAUUAAUGAGAAAAGACGUGCCUGACGCACAGGAAGAGGGAUAAAACACCAAAGUCAUAGUUAAAAAAAUGUUAAAAACCACCAGAUCCUUAUCUUCCAUUCACUAGAAAUGGAAAUCCUGAUCGCUUGCAUUACUUUUCUUUGUGGGUGUUGCGUGACGACUAAUUCUCUUGAAAUGUGUUUUAUUUUUACGCCGCUUUACAUGCAACACCCUCUUCAAAAGUUAUUUUCAGAGUUUCGGCAGACGGUGACAUGGAAGUGUUGCAAGGUGGUGACCCAAUGAUCCCAUCAUCGCCGUCUUCAGAGGAUGUUGCUGAAAUGUUGGCCGAGUUAUCUUGAAUCUCCCGCGCCUCGUCGCAGAGGUGAUCAUACAUAAAAAUGAUCCUUCCUGGUUGAUGGAACAGUUAGUCUGCAGCCCAGACUUUCAGAAUGAACUCCAUUGCAGGUUUUCUCCGUCUGGCUUGCGUCUUGGUGGUUCUGGCUCAAGGCUCGGGGCAGAAGAAGGAACUUUUUGGGCCAGGAUGCAAACCUAAAGAGCUGAUUCUGAUCACCAAAAUAGAGCUUGAAUCCUGUCUGACCAGUUUUGAAGACGUGAAUGGAAAGCACCUUGGCACCUGGUCUCCUGGGUUCCCCGAGCUGGACGUCCACCAAAACGCACCCCUCGAUGGGGCCAAAGUCCAGUGCGGCCUCUCUGUGGUCGCUCAGGGCCUGGAGAAAGUCUCAGAGCAACAGAAACUGCUGUAUCAAAACGAGAACGAGUUAAAAAAGCGGCUCAAAGACACGACGUGGAGGGUCCAGCUGCUCGGGCUGUGUCUGCAAAACGUUCUCGGAGGUGAAUGCUUCCCAAAACCGUCCCUCCCCGAGAUGCCCAAGUACCUGUUUGAGAGGAAGCAGUGGGGACACGCCCUGCUGAAGGCGGCCGAACACUACGUGGGCUGGUUGUACAAUAGAUUUGAAGUUUUAAAGAUUUGGCAGUCAAGGCGGAUGAAACAUAAAGUUCUGAAGGCCAAACUUCACAAAUACAAACAGGAAAGUAAAUAUCUGCUGUGAGUCAGUUCCUCCUGUAUGGAGGGAUUUUUAUGCUGCCAUAUUGCGAGCAAAAGUCACGGUUUUGACAUCCAAAUUUUUGAAAUUUCAAGCAAAAUAUAAAAAUGUUUGUAGUAAAACUUGAUGCAAAAUAUUUUUUCAUUUGAAAAAAUUUUUUUUUGCUUUCAAAAAAUAUUUUCGCGCUUGCAAACUUUUUUUGUUUUCAAAAAUAUUUUUGCGCUAGCAAACUUUUUUCGUUCUCAAAAAUAUUUUUGCGCUUCAAACUUUUUUCGUUUUCAAA